Long non-coding RNA from Microcebus murinus (gray mouse lemur), 1823 nucleotides. The record is from Ensembl. NCBI's taxonomy places the organism in Eukaryota, Metazoa, Chordata, Mammalia, Primates, Cheirogaleidae.
CAGAUUCCCGCCUGCCUCCUCGUGGGAAGCGGCCGCCGCGCUCGCUCCGGGGCGCCCGUUCUGACCGCUCUGAGCCUCGGCGGGGUGAGCGAGGGGGCACACGCGGGAGACUAUGGCUGUGUUGUUUUUAGAAAACUGCAGCCAAUCUCUCUUCCCCCUUCCCUGCUGAGUGUGCAUUUCCCAGCCUAGACCCGCCAGGCCCACAAAUAAAGCCACCGAGAUCGUGCACUCAGCUAGGGACCGCCCCCAGCGUGACCCCGUGCCCCCUGGCUCCCUCCUGCCUCUCCUCGGGGAACGGCUCCUCGGGCGGCUCAGCGCUCAGAAAACGCAGGGCUCCUUUCCUGCUCGGCAGCCGAGCGCUUCUGCCAGCGUUCUCCAACCAACUAAUAAGCCAUGCACUGGGUACUCAGAGGAAAUGUCAUAUUUAAGUUCUGCCUCUGAUUUCCCUGGUCUUAGCGGAUCUGAGGCUUCUCCGGGUUCCUCGUUUGCACGCACAGUACUGGGUAAUGGAGCCCUACCGCACUGAGGGAUAAUUGCUGGCUGGUGGGUUGGUACAGAGCAAAUUGUCCUUGCUAACAGCCCCUUUCCUUUGCUGUUGGAUUCCACUAAGUGGUGGAAAGGGCCAGUUUUAGGUUUCUGCAAUUCCCCACCAAGGCAGACAGACAGACUUUCUAUGAGAGUAAAGCGAUGGCCCGAGGGAGAACUCAGCAGUGUUCCUUUGCUUUUUAUUUUUUUUUAUUUUUUUGGUCUCAAGAACACAUCCCUCUUCCUGAUAUCAGAGAUCCCCAGCCUGGACAGGACCCAGUUCCCCGGAAGGGGAGAUGCCUCCAGAAUGCCCGGCAGGGGCCGUCAGUGGGCAAUACCCUGCCUCUUGCACUCCCACCAGGGCGACUGCACUCAGCUUGGACUCCCGGAGCCUGGCUGGAACCGUGGCCCAUCAUUAAGAAUAGACUGGAUGGCAAAUGCUCAUUCCUUUCAUCAAGCUGUCAUCAAUUUGUCAGAAAUAAGAUGAAAUCGAUUGCUCCCAGAAGGCCAUUUGAGCCACUAACUUCCUCAAAGUACUUCAGACUGAUGCACUAUAUGGAGAUUCAGGUGACUCUGGCUAUUGCAUGUAGAAUGGGUUCUAAGUGGAGCAAGGGAGGAAAUGAAGAGAACAGCUAUGAUCAAAGUGGAAGGAAUGGAUGAAAUUGCUGAGGACAUUGAGAAAGGAGGCUGAGGACAGAAUGUUGAGGGACCUUUAAAGCCUUGAUCCUCAGGAUGAGCCAACAAAAGACCUUGAGAAUGAAUAACUGAAGAGGUAGGUGGAAAACCAGGGCAGUAGAUUGUCCUCAAGGCCAAAUAGAAGAGGGAUUUGUAAAAGGAAGUGUUGGACAAGAGCUGAACAUUGUUGAGGGUUCCUGUUGGUUGAGAUUGGAAUGCAGUUGGACUUAGCGAGUUGAUGGCUCCUGAGAGUUGACUUUAUCGAGAGUGAGUGAGGGAGGAACAGGAUUAGGGACCAUAUUGCAAUAGACUGAGGAGUCAAUGUGACCAGAGAGACAGGACUAAAGAUAAUUCUCUCUGAAAGUUUCUAGUGAAGGGGAGGAGACAGACAAUAGCUCUGGAAGGAAGAGGUGAGGAGGGAGGUUGAUUGUUUUUAUUAUCUUUUUUGUUUUCUUUUAAGAUCUGGUACUCAUGAACAUUCAUAAAGGCCUGAUAGGUAGAACCUGGUAUUGGGGGCAGUGUUGAGAUUAAAGCACAGAAAAAAUAAUCAGGGUGCAAAUUGCCUGAGAAGCAGGAGGGAAUACAGUUUAGAACCAAAGUGCCGAUGGAUUGAUAUACACCAG